GGCCCAAGGUAUGCCGAGGUGCAAAUUCGGUAGUAAACUUUAAUAUGUUUGUGGUCUA
RNAcentral lists this transfer RNA (58 nucleotides) under Uromastyx aegyptia aegyptia. Lineage: Eukaryota; Metazoa; Chordata; Lepidosauria; Squamata; Agamidae. The record is from RNAcentral.